GUUUUCUACUACUAGUCUAGUACUCCCUCGGGUAUGUAAGCACCAACACAUGGACAUGGCCAUGGCCGGGCUAACAAGCUCAACCAACCGACCAAGAAUGGCGCCGGCACCAGGGAGGAAGAGGAAUCCCAGCAUGCACACGUGCCACCUCUGCUUGUGCUUCCUUCUCCUUGCGUCCACCGCCACCCUCUCGGCCGCCGUCACCGCUUCCUCUUACUCCACCGCCUGCCCAUCCCUGCCGCCCGCCCACGACCGCCGCACCGACGCCGACGACGCCCUUUCACUGACCCGCUCCUUCCAGAUCUCCGCCGGCCAGUUUUCUGGUGGCGCUGCCGGCCUGUUUUCCCCUCAAGAUGAUGGUCCCUACAAUGACCGCUCCUUCGCCUUUUUCCCACACGGCAUCUCCCGCACCCAAGACCCGGCUCUCCUCCACCUUACCGCCACCUUCACCCUCACCGGUCUCCGCAGCCCCGGUGGACGCCGCGACAAUUACAGCUUCCCUGCGCCCGUCUCCUUCGUCCUCGACGGCCACUACUCCUCCGCCUCGCUGCAGCUCUGCAUGGUCGGGACGGGCACCGAGCGCGGAGAGGACGGCUCCCUCAAGCACUAUCCCGACGUCGCCCUCCGCCUCCGCGUCCCCAGUCCUCCCACCCUCGCCGAUCCAUUCGUGACCGGCAGUCUGGAGGGCGGCUCCGGCCUUGGGACUUUCCGCCGAGGGCGACGACUACAGGUACGGCUCCGAGCGCGCGGCCUGCAGCCCCAGCCCACCCAAGCACCCGGACAGGGAGUCGCUCCGGGCGCUCGGUGGCCACAACUCCCUGUGCGGCUACCUGAAACAACAGCUCAUGGCCUCGUACGGACUAGAGCACGGCGGCGCUCCGCUUCCCCGGAUGCGCGUGAACCAGAUGCACUGUACCGCGGACGGCGCGGCCGUGCACGUCCGCGCAUAUGCUGUGCUCUCCAACGACACCGGGUCGUCCGAGAGGCGCCGGCACUACCGCCGCCGACGACGCUUCUUGGUACGCGAGGAGGCCGUCGUGGCCGACGGGUACUGGGACUCGGAUCGGCGCAUGCUCUGCCUCACGGCGUGCCGGGUUCCGCUGCCGGUGCCGUCGUCUGCUCCGGCGGUGCAAGAGCACGGAUGCGGGAUCGGGAUGAGCUUCUGGUUCCCUGCCGUAUGGACGAUGCGGGAGCGGAGCAUCGUGUCCGGGAUGCUCUGGAACUCGACCGACGCCGGCUCUGGACUGAUCCACGGCGUGAUAACAGCGUCGAGCAUCGACGACCAAAGAAGCUCCACCAACCUCUCCGACGUGAAGUACAGCUACAACGACACGGUGCUCGACGAGGCCAUGAAGCAUUACCUCAAGAUGAGCAAGGAGAAGAAGAUCACCCCGGGUUCGCACUUGUUCCCGGAUUUUAACACUACUCACCGUGACUUUGAAUUCGGUUUCUACGGGCCGGACAUCGGGAGCGGACACACGGACCCUGUCACAAUCGGCUCGGCGAUGCUCGCCGGCGAGAGGCUGGCCGCCGAUGACGCCUUCUUCGAGCACACGGUGGUGGCCGUGGAAGACAAAGAGCCGGUUCUGCUGAAUGUCAGCUACACCAUACGCUACACUGCCCCACCUGAUAACUGGGUGCGCCCUACCAAUAUGUUCAACUACUCAGUUGGCUAUGAGAAGAGAAAGAUCUCAGCAGAAGGUGUUUAUGAUCCCAACAGGGGCAUCCUCUGCAUGGUCGGCUGCAAGGAGCACAACGGCUCCACGGACUGCCAGACACUGGUAACGGUGCAGUUCGCCUCCCUCGAUUCCAAGACGCAAGACCGACCGCCUCUUCUUCGAGAAGGUCGACUUCACCUCCUAUGGGAUGUACUCCUCGCAAGUGUUUGAGGCCGUAUCGAGGAUGGACAUGGAGAGCGUCCUGCUGCUGGCCUCCACCACGCUGUCGUGCGUCUUCACCAUCCUGCAGAUCCUCCACACAAAGAGGAACCCGGAGGCGGCUGCGGCGACAUCGAUCACCAUGCUCGCCGUGGUCACCAUGGGGUAUCUCGCCCCUCUCGCGCUCAACUCCGAGGCCCUGUUUGCAAGCAGGAGGAGCCAGUACUAUGACUUCUACGACUCCACGACCCGGAGGCUAGAGAUGAACGAGGUCAUGAUGACGGCGCCUACGCUGAUCGCCUUCGUGCUGCAGCUGCGCCUUCUUCAGCUGGCGUGGUCAAGCCGCCGCACAUCCAACGUGUCCGAGAGGACCGUGCUGUGGACAUGCCUGCCAUUGUACGCGCUCGGAGGAGCCUUCGCCGCCAUAAUCCACGGGAUCAACGCCGGUGCCAUGAGCGGCGACCCGUCAAUGAUCAGCAUGGGUGAAGGGCUAGCGACGAUCUGGGAGGACCUUGUGUCGUACGCGGGGCUGAUACUGGAUGGCUUCCUCCUCCCGCAGGUCGUCCUGAACGCGUCCUUAGGAACAUCCAGAGUUGGGGCGAUCUCGCCGUGGUUCUACAUAGGGGGCACCAUGGUCCGUGUGGCGCCUCAUGUGUACGAUGUGGUCAGAGCCCAUAUCUACAAGCCGAGCAUGCACUCCUCUCACCUGUACCGUGGCGACCUCUUCGGCGUCGGGUGGGACGCGGUUAUACCGUGUGGGGCAGUGCUGCUGGCCUUGUUCUUCUUCUUGCAGCAACGGCUCGGAGGCACCGCAUCGCUUCCUUCGCAGAGGAGGAGAUCGGGUGGAUAUGAAAUGGUCUCCAACAUUUAA
This 2748-nucleotide ribosomal RNA is filed under the name Triticum aestivum (bread wheat). RNAcentral describes it as "partial small subunit ribosomal RNA". Lineage: Eukaryota; Viridiplantae; Streptophyta; Magnoliopsida; Poales; Poaceae. The record is from RNAcentral.